GAUAAAUUUGACUUAUGGAACAAAUACGAAUGAAAAAUGAAAAAAAUUGGACAUAAAUAUUUACGUGAAAAAAUUCCCCCGGAGAAGAUAAAAAAACCAUAGGAAAAGAAAAGUUCACUAAAAUAGCAAAAAAACGAAGAGGAAUACAAGAUGGAGAAACAAUAAACAAACCCGAACCCGAAAUACAAAGUUCUUUCAAAAUUCCCA
Molecule: long non-coding RNA, 207 nt
Filed under: Gossypium raimondii (Peruvian cotton)
Lineage: Eukaryota; Viridiplantae; Streptophyta; Magnoliopsida; Malvales; Malvaceae
Description: long non-coding RNA (GRAI_LNC010157)
Source: RNAcentral